RNAcentral lists this ribosomal RNA (253 nucleotides) under uncultured bacterium. Its description in RNAcentral is "partial 16S ribosomal RNA". It matches the Rfam family "Bacterial small subunit ribosomal RNA", at positions 524 to 776 of the family's 1533-position model. The record is from RNAcentral.
UACGGAGGGUGCAAACGUUGCUCGGAAUCAUUGGGCGUAAAGCGCACGUAGGCGGUUCGCUAUGUCGGAUGCGAAAGCCCUCGGCUUAACCGAGGAAGGGCAUCCGAAACUGGCGGGCUUGAGUACGGAAGAGGGUCUCGGAAUUCCCGGUGUAGAGGUGAAAUUCGUAGAUAUCGGGAGGAACACCAGUGGCGAAGGCGGAGACCUGGGCCGAUACUGACGCUGAGGUGCGAAAGCGUGGGGAGCAAACAGG